Molecule: ribosomal RNA, 234 nt
Filed under: uncultured Eubacteriales bacterium
Lineage: Bacteria; Bacillati; Bacillota; Clostridia; Eubacteriales
Description: uncultured Clostridiales bacterium partial 16S ribosomal RNA
Rfam family: Bacterial small subunit ribosomal RNA
Source: RNAcentral
CGAACGGGUGAGUAACGCGUGAGUAACCUGCCUUACACAAGGGGAUAGCCUUUGGAAACGAAGAAUAAUACCCUAUAAAACUAUAAAAGCACAUGCUAGAAUGGUCAAAGUGCUAGCGGUGUAAGAUGGACUUGCGUCUGAUUAGCUAGUUGUGAGAUAAAAGCUCACCAAGGCAACGAUCAGUAGCCGGCUUGAGAGAGUGUACGGCCACAUUGGGACUGAGACACGGCCCAG